This 253-nucleotide ribosomal RNA is filed under the name uncultured bacterium. Its description in RNAcentral is "partial 16S ribosomal RNA". It matches the Rfam family "Bacterial small subunit ribosomal RNA", at positions 524 to 776 of the family's 1533-position model. The record is from RNAcentral.
UACGGAGGGUGCAAGCGUUAUCCGGAUUCACUGGGUUUAAAGGGUGCGUAGGAGGGCAGGUAAGUCAGUGGUGAAAUCUCCAAGCUUAACUUGGAAACUGCCGUUGAUACUAUCUGUCUUGAAUAUUGUGGAGGUGAGCGGAAUAUGUCAUGUAGCGGUGAAAUGCUUAGAUAUGACAUAGAACACCAAUUGCGAAGGCAGCUAACUACACAAUCAUUGACUCUGAGGCACGAAAGCGUGGGGAUCAAACAGG